This 648-nucleotide ribosomal RNA is filed under the name uncultured bacterium. Its description in RNAcentral is "bacterial SSU rRNA". It matches the Rfam family "Bacterial small subunit ribosomal RNA", at positions 75 to 716 of the family's 1533-position model. The record is from RNAcentral.
GUAGCUUGCUACUUUGCCGGCGAGCGGCGGACGGGUGAGUAAUGUCUGGGAAACUGCCUGAUGGAGGGGGAUAACUACUGGAAACGGUAGCUAAUACCGCAUGACCUCGAAAGAGCAAAGUGGGGGAUCUUCGGACCUCACGCCAUCGGAUGUGCCCAGAUGGGAUUAGCUAGUAGGUGAGGUAAUGGCUCACCUAGGCGACGAUCCCUAGCUGGUCUGAGAGGAUGACCAGCCACACUGGAACUGAGACACGGUCCAGACUCCUACGGGAGGCAGCAGUGGGGAAUAUUGCACAAUGGGCGCAAGCCUGAUGCAGCCAUGCCGCGUGUGUGAAGAAGGCCUUAGGGUUGUAAAGCACUUUCAGCGAGGAGGAAGGCAUCACACUUAAUACGUGUGGUGAUUGACGUUACUCGCAGAAGAAGCACCGGCUAACUCCGUGCCAGCAGCCGCGGUAAUACGGAGGGUGCAAGCGUUAAUCGGAAUUACUGGGCGUAAAGCGCACGCAGGCGGUUUGUUAAGUCAGAUGUGAAAUCCCCGCGCUUAACGUGGGAACUGCAUUUGAAACUGGCAAGCUAGAGUCUUGUAGAGGGGGGUAGAAUUCCAGGUGUAGCGGUGAAAUGCGUAGAGAUCUGGAGGAAUACCGGUGGC